RNAcentral lists this long non-coding RNA (38002 nucleotides) under Hordeum vulgare. RNAcentral describes it as "long non-coding RNA (HVUL_LNC021218)". Lineage: Eukaryota; Viridiplantae; Streptophyta; Magnoliopsida; Poales; Poaceae. The record is from RNAcentral.
CAGAGACAUUCCGUAGUUUCAGUGCCAUGAAGCAAUACAUAUUAGUAAGUUUGUGGAUGCCAUAGCUUAAGACCGAGAAGAAAUAUAACAGAUAAGACACUUUCCACAAAAACCAAUACUGCUAGUAGGGCUGCUAGUCUAGGUGAGCCAAAGAACUAUACCCGCAUAAACCUUGGUUCAGAGUAUACCAACUUCUUAAAGAAAAUUAGCUUGCAAGUCAUAUAGCCUAACCUGGACAAAUUAACCUUGCCUAAGCGCCCAACUCACUAUAGUAGUUCAGUCCUUCAAGGAUAUAAUUCAUGUUCCUAACCAAGGUUCUCAACAUCACAAGGAUCUUUGAAUCCUAUCUUCUUAUGACAGUCAAUAUCCUAUAAUCUUACCAGGACGGCAAGUAUCUCCAAAGCACAUUGACAAAGUUCUGUGAAGAAGUCAGAGUUUUCACACCGUACCACAUAGUUGGAUGAAAUACUUCCAUUUUAACAUGAAUCAAUAAGGGUAAGCUCAAGAAGCUACUCCACUAAUUUACCUGACCAAUCUUUAUCUUUUAUUUGAGACCGCGUAUGUAUAGAGUGGCGACAGACGACUGAGUAAAGAAUAAAAACUCAACAUGUUUCUAAGGUAGAUAAAAUGACUUUGCUGAUAAUGGUAAACUAUUAUCGAAAACAUACAGUUUUGAGAUAUUUGGAAUAUGUCUGCUUUUAUAUCCUCUACCCUAAAGCUAUGAAGUGCAAGUUUAGAUGAAGGGGUUGAUUUGCAACCACCCACUACUCCAUUACUUAGAAUAGUGCUUUAGGUUUUGUGCAAACUGCUCUCUGUGAGUGCCUCUGUUCGUAAAUACAUUUGAUUUCUGGGUUGCAGAGUAAAAGCUAAAAGCCAUCAUUUGACACGUGGUAAGGUGAUAAUUCAUAAUUGAACUCUUAACAAAGAAAGCUAGUUAUGAAUCAAGACAUUGAGGACCUGUUAGGAAGGGAUGUUUUAGGUCCAUUUUCACAAUGGCCCAUCCUUAACAUAUCCUCAGAACAGUCAGGAGUCAGAACAGCACAGAAACAUAUAUGGAGCCAAAAUAUUUAUAGGACCAUGUAGUGCAUACCUCAUAGGCUGAACUUAUCUCUUUGAACUUGUCGGUUGCUCCAGGUUCCUUAUUGACAUCAGGAUGAUACUACAAGGUAAAGACAGUAAGAAGAGAAACAGAUUGUCAAAACUCAGUAGUUUUUAAUGGAAGUUGAAUCUAAUGUAUACAUCAUGUGUGAGAAACCUAGAAGUAGAGCAAAACCACGUCAGUUGGUGAACGUGAUAAAUUUCACACCAAAUUUUAAAUCAUGAAACUCAACCGUGUCUAUGUUCUAAAUAAAGGUAUGAGUGAAGAUUUUUCAAACCUAUCAAGGAGGGUGCUUUAGACCUGUUAUAAUCUAGGCCCAAUACAAGAUCAUGUCCUAGUCCAAAAUCAGACUUUUGUAGACUUCCAAUGGUAUUCCAGAUUCCAGCACCCUUGCUCAGCCAGAUUCAGGUGAAGCAGAAGGACCUUUGGGGAUCUACCUUUAUUCUCAACUCACGAGCAUGUCAUCUGAUCCCCCUCCUAUGCCCAAAGCCAACUCCAACGGACCCGAAAAUAGCUAUUGUAAAUGGCACGUGGUUGAAGACAAAAAUGUUAGACUGGAUGUUAGGCCUUGCCCUAAAAGCAUCAAUACGUGAUUCAGGCUCCUAGCGUGGCAGCAAUUAGCAAUGGUGCCCGUUAUUUCUACAUGGCAGGCUGAUGCCAUUGGGUAGGAGAGGAGAGUCAGACUUUCCAGUGUUAAACGUUACAGUGUCUGUCAACAUUGCUGGAGCAGUGAGAAAAAUUAUAAUGCUAGAAAGUUAAUGAAACACCAUGAUACAGUCAUGUGGAUGUGACUGUGAAGAUCUCACACAAAAUUCCUCUAAAUGGUGUCAGGACUCAACCUCUAGAAAACAAUUACCUCUCAUCUAAAAAAAAUACAAAGCAGAUGUCAGACCUAGUGGUGUUAUUAUCUGUACUAGUAAGGGAUUUUCAUGUAUAAAAGCGAACCUCUGCAAUACCAAAGAUGCACAAAAAUAGAAAGUAGGGAGUGAUUAUUGCGCCAAAAUGCAAAGACCUUGCACAUGCAAAUCAAAUCGAGCCAGCAAAGAGAUUGGACCGAGUUACAUUGUGAAUUGCGGCUACAAAGUUGUAGAGGCUACUGAUAUGUUAGCAUAACAAAAAUGGGACUCAAACACUAUUCACCAUAUCAUCCAACAUUCACCAACACUAAUGUGGGUUGUUACAAUUUACAGGAGGAGAUGAGAAGCUGGUCUAUUGUAGCAAGCAGAAAGAUAACGGUGCUAGGGUUAUAUACAGUUCGGCAGGGCGUGUCUAUCCACACUUCAUCCAAACAGAACAGCGGCAUCAUGCGUGAUGCAAGGAACUCCAAUCAAUUACUAUGCGGCACUACUUUUGAAUAGAUAGACAGUAUGACAGGCUUAUGGGCACUAGUUUUAAACAGAGAGAGCUCGACAAAACGAGUUGAGAUGUGGCUUAAGUGGGAGGGGGGCAAAGCGUCGAACACCUGGCGCGCGAGCUUCCGGUAGGCGGCCUUGAUGUCCUUGAUGGUCGCGGAGCGCUGCACGCCGAGCGUCGCGUAGUAGUCGGCGGCCGCCCGCACCACCAGGGCCNNNNNNNNNNNNNNNNNNNNNNNNNNNNNNNNNNNNNNNNNNNNNNNNNNNNNNNNNNNNNNNNNNNNNNNNNNNNNNNNNNNNNNNNNNNNNNNNNNNNNNNNNNNNNNNNNNNNNNNNNNNNNNNNNNNNNNNNNNNNNNNNNNNNNNNNNNNNNNNNNNNNNNNNNNNNNNNNNNNNNNNNNNNNNNNNNNNNNNNNNNNNNNNNNNNNNNNNNNNNNNNNNNNNNNNNNNNNNNNNNNNNNNNNNNNNNNNNNNNNNNNNNNNNNNNNNNNNNNNNNNNNNNNNNNNNNNNNNNNNNNNNNNNNNNNNNNNNNNNNNNNNNNNNNNNNNNNNNNNNNNNNNNNNNNNNNNNNNNNNUCGCCGCGGGGCGGGGGGCGUGUGCUGGGCGUUGGUCCGCGUCUCGGGUCGUGUUGAGCUGCAGUUGGGAUGGGAGGGGAAGGGGACGAUGCCCGAGUAGGGUGGGCCCACACCGUCAGUCUCCGAUGGCAUACAUGGACAGUUUGUUUUUUGGGUUUUUAUUAUAUACUCCCUCCGUUCCUAAAUAUAAGUCUUUUAAGCGAUUUCAAUAGGUGUCUACAUACGGAGUAAAAUGAUUGAAUCUACACUCUAAAGUAUGUCUAUAUACAUUCGUAUGUAGUCUAUUAGUGAAAUCUCUACAAAGACUUAUAUUUAGGAACGAAGGGAGUAUAAUCUAGCAAAAGAGCUCGUGCGUUGUAACGGAAGAGAAAAUAACACAUGCUCUGAAUGCAAUAUAUUUUCACAUGACAUCACAUUUGUGUUGCCGACGAUGAUUUUAGUGCUCACACAAUGAAAACGCGUUUGAAUAUAGUCGCUCGAAAUAAGAUGAGAAAUAUGUUGUUUCUCCUCACGAGGUUUUUCAAAGGUGUGCAUGUGUUGUUAACGAUGUUUUCUUUCCUCUCAAUUUAGUUUUAAUUUAAUGGAUGUUUAUUGCAAUUCGUAUCGUCGCCGGAAAGAGAGAGAAAAAAGGAUCGUGCACUACAGAUUAAGGUUGCAUCAAAAAUAAUAUUUAAGAAGUAUUCAACAGCUAAAAAUAACAUCCUAUUUAGAUUCUACACUUUUUUUUAAUUAAAUUUCAUAUAUAACAUGUUAAAAUCUGAGUUACGGUUUAAAAGAUAUGGAUAAUUUUAUUUUAGAUAAAAUGUGGAUUGAUUAACUGAAAAGUUAGGUUUUUUUUGUUAAAAUACGGAGGGCGUGUUGAUUACCUGAAACACCAGGGGGUUUUUGAAAAAAAUGCAAAAAAUGAUUCGUUUUCUAACUUAAAUCCGGACUGCGGGUUGAUUACCUAAAACAUCAGGGGGUUUUCUGCAAAAUGCAAAAAACAAUUCGUUUUUGGGGGUUUUGAUUUAAAAAUGGACUGCGGGUUGAAUACCGGAAAAGCGAGGGGUGUUUUUGGAAAAAACCGGCGACGUACGGCAGAAGCGCUGCGCGCUUUAUUAUUAGGGGAGAUAUACUUUCUGUGUGUGGAAUUACUUGUCGUUAGAUGUAUCCGUUUGAGCGGCAAGUAAUUUCAGACGGAGGGAGUAUAAGUUUAUAAUUGGUUAUGUCAUACUGCUCAAUUUUACCAUUAGAAAAUUUAACUACUUAAAAAUGUCAUUAUUUUAUUAAGUAUGUGCUUAGAAAUGUCACUCCACAUUGUUGUUGUCUGGUUGAAGGUAGGGAUGAAGUGACCAAAAUAUCCUAAGACCCCAUUUGUCAUCCCUUUCCUAUAACAUUGUGGGUUUUAGUUGUCAACACACGAAUAAUUAAAUUAGAAGAAAAAGAAAUAUAGGCAUACGAGGGUUUUAAUCGCCCGCGCGUGAAGCUAUCUAUUUUAGCUUCUAAUUUUAUUCUUUGAGUACUAAAAGCUAAGACCCAUAGGUUACACCGAUAAGUAGGGUCCAAGGGUAUUUUGGUCAGUUCAUCCUAGUCAAUGGCCUUUGACCAGACGAAAACGGUGUCGGGUGGCAUUUUCUAGCACAUACUUAACGAGAUGAUGGUAUUUUUGAGUAGUUGAAACUUUUAAUGACAAAAUUGAGUAGUGUGACACAAUCAAUGGUAAAAACUGACUAAAAAUAAUGGAUGCAUGUAUACCUGGAGCCACGUAGAUUCAUUUGAAUUUCUAUAAAAAAAUUAAAAAAAAAGGAUAUUAUUAGAAAAUUUUGCUAUGUUAAUCCUUCGGUUUAUAGGAUUGAAUCAUGUAGGGAAUUUUCCGAAAGAUUUCUUUGUACUAUAUAUUCCACAGAAAUUUUAACAUCCACUCCAACAUCUUGAAAUAAUUCUUUGUUAUCUCGUGAUGUUAUCAGAUGAAUCGAAAAUCCUGACAACAAUCAUAUGGUUCCCUAUAUAUGAGUUGUGGGAUUCAUGUGAAUAAAAUGAGCCCUUAGGUCUUGUUUGAUUGAGAGGGUUGUUAAAUUAAUUGUGGAGGAUUCCAAUUGUUGGAGAGAGAAAAUAGGUGGGUUGUUUGAUUCGUAUGAUUACAUUCUACAAAGGAUUCAUUUGUAGUAUUAGAUUUCUUACAAACAAGUAUCGUCUACUCUAACCUCUUGUGAAGAAUUCUAUGGUUAAAGGUGCACAAUAAAACGUACUAUAUUCCCUUAGUGUUCCAAAUGGCAUGCCAAUCUAUUCCCAUCUUCUUCUUUUUUAUGUUUUAGAAUCUAUGCAAAUCAAAGAAACCCCCCUCUGCCAACAUGUACAAUUGGUAUGAGAAAAUAACUAGUGAGCAUAAAGGUCCAUGGUAACCUUUCUGCUUGCGAGGGUCAUUGCAUGUAGCCAUGCUUGUCGUGACCGAUUUAGUGUAGUAGACGACUAUCUUCACAUGAGCUAGGAAGACACCAUUAUUGUUCAUUGGAAUUAUAGGUCACACUAGCCACAUGUCUAUGAGGAAGAGAUCGGUCAUAGUUGAAAGAACAUGACCAGGGGUAUGCCUUGUGCUUUUCUAUCCCGUAUCUAAGAUGAGUGCGUCAGACAUCGCCUAGAAAGACACAUGUAUCCGCUAGAUGCAUCAUCGCUACCGCACGGAUCCCGAGUGCUAGAAGGCUGCCAACUGGUGAACAACUCAUUUAAAAGGACACAGAACUAAAACCCACCAUAUGCUCGUCAUUCCCUCCACGGCCAAAUUUCGUGUUUUGACCUUUUUUUGAACUAAAUCGACAUUUAAUCCUAGUUUGAAAAAAAUCGGGAUUUGACACUUUUACCUAUCGUCAUAGGCCGUGGCGUUAGCCUAGCACACCCUACUGUCGGAGACCCUGACGGUAGGCUGACGGAGGACGACGGUCGAUGGACUAUAGUUAGCCGCUGACAUGGCAAAGGGCCUACCGCUACCCUGCCUGGUGGUAGGGUAUCUACACCUACCGCCAGAAACCCUGGCGAUAGGGUCCUCAGGUGGAUAAGAUGAUUGGGUUUAGGGUUUAGCGUUUAGGGUCUUAUCCAACCUAGGACCCUACCGCCAAGAUCUCUGGCGGUAGGUGUAGAUACCCUACCACCAGGCAGGGUGGCGGUAGGCCCUUUGCCACGUCAGCGGCUAACUGCUCACCGUCGUCCUUCGUCAGCCUAUUGCCAGGGUCUUUGGUGAUAGGGUUUGCUAGGAUACCGUCACGAUCUACGGCAAUAGGUAAAAGGGUCAAAUCCCGAAAAAAAUCAAACUAGGAUCAAAUGUCGAUUUAGUUUGCAAAAAAGUCAAACCACGAAAUUUGGCCUCCCUCCACAUGCUCGUCAUUGAUACCAGAACAAGCAUUGUCAAGGCAUAAAUGGAGUGAAUAUGACUUAUUAUGACAAGAGACGGUCACCGCCUUGCCAUCCUCACCAACCUUCCCCCAAGACCCCAAACCACCAGAGGUCAUGGUCCACCACACCUCCAAAGGUCACGAAUGCCACUAGAGCUACAACAAACUGACCUACACGCUAAUGGGAGGGCACAUCUAUGGAUUGCCUCCAAGGACCCUCGAGGGUUAGGGUUCUAUAUAUCCAGGGAAACAACGAUUAGUGAUGAUGGUUACUGGUUCGAGGUUAAUAGAUCCAUGAAGCAUUUGUUACAAUGAAAGGAAGACAUGAUUGAUACUCCUUCUGUCCCAAAAUAACUGUCUUAACUUUAUACUAGCUCUAGUAUAAAUUUAUAUUAAUCUUAAGACACUUAUUUUGAGACGGGGGAGUACUUAGCUACUCUCAUGUUUGGAAACCACACUUUAAAAGUUGUGGAGAAAUCUAGAAAUAAUGUAGCUGACAUAUAAGAGAGAACAUAUAAUCUUCCACCACACACAAAUAGUAAAACUCAAAUAUAUCACUUUUUCAUCAUUGUUCCCCCUCCAUUUGUAAAUGAAAACAUAUAAUUAUACCCUUGAUGUUAGUGUUCAAUCCAUAAAUUUUGCGCAAAUCCUCUUUUUUGUUGCCGAAUUUGAUGCGAUGUGUCUCUUUUUUUGCGGCAAGAACUUCCACUCUAUUAAUCAACUAUAAUGGUAGUACAAAGAAUACUAAAAUUAAUAGAAAUUACAACUAGAUUCAUGCACCAUCUAGCAAUGGUUGCAAGCACUGAAGUGAGCGAGUUGAAGGUGUGUCGCCGUCAUAACUCCUUCAUCCCGAGUUGAAGGCAGGUCGCCGUCAUAACUCCUUCCUCGUUGAAGCUCCACAAACAUUAUUAUAGUAGACAGUCGAAAAGUCAUCGUGCUAAGGCCGAGAAGACCAGCGCACAUGAACAACAUUUAUCGUUGAUACGUAGAUCGAAAAGAUAAACUUGUAGACACACAACGAAUACGAACAAAGACUACAUCCAAACAGAUCCAUCAAAGACCAGCACAUGUCGUAUUCCAUGAGAUUCGACGAGGCACUAUGCCAAUUUGUAACAAUGAUUUUUCAGUCCAUAAAAUGAAUAUUUUUGGAUAUAUAAGGACACAAAUACCCGGUAUAAGUUUUCAAUCUAAAUAUUAAUUUAGAUGGUAUUACUGGCAGUCAAAUUGAAUGGUUGUUUGAAAGCAGUAUAUGUUUAUUUGUGAACAAGAACAAUGUAAAAUAGGAUUUUGCUCCAAAUAGAAACGCAUAUAUAAAAAGUUAUAAACAUACAAUGUGCGACUAGGAUUUUGCUCUAAAUACGUUGAUUCUAAUACAAUGGAAAAGAAAAAAAAUGUGACUCGUGGCGUACCGUGCCUACCGUUCUUGUACCUGUAAGAAAUGAAAAGGAAUGGAAUGAACUAUUCUUUCAUUGAUCAUCAUCACAGAUAUUUAUACAGAGAUUCCCGUCUCUUGGGAAUGUCGGUUACAAGGAAUAGACGCGUAUAGGAGGCGUCGAUACGAGAAAAGCUGCCUCUUUGGAAGGAAGAGGCGUCUCUACAAGGGAAAUGCGUUCGUACGGAUAGACACGUCCGUACAACACUUUGGGCACACAAUAACUGCCUAAGGCAAUUGUAAUCUAAUUCUAACACUCCCCCUUGCACAAAGCUAUGUUUUGUAUCUUUUGUAUAAUCUUGAAAGUACUCCAUGUAGUUUUGAUGAUCUCUGAAGUUGGUAAUCUCUCCUCCAAAACCCUGUGAGAAAAUAUGAAGAGAGUAGUGUGUAGGAUAUGUUGUUAAAACUCCUUUAAACCCAGUGGGAAAAUAAGGAGAAAAAGAUGCAAAAUAUAUUGAUUAAAAGAGCCGGAGUCGGGUAGAUCCCAGGCGCCGUGACAGUUCCGGUAUGAGAAUGUAUGGCAGUCCCAUCCAGAUUAUGAUGACAUGGUUGGCCGGAUUUGGCGCUCAGGUCCGGGCCAACAGGGUCUGGGGGGUGCUGCUUGAUGCAUUGACAACAGUUCAGACUCACCUCGGCUCCUGGGGGCAGAGAGAGUUUGGGAAUUUGGUGAAGAAAGUGCGCAAGAUUUAGCAACACCUUGAAAGGCUUAGGCAUGCCUCACUGGGACGUGGUCCAAUAGUGAAGGAGAAAAUAGUGGCGGAACAGCUGCGAGAAGCACUUUGACAGGAAGAGGUUUGGAUUAAGCAGCGAUCCCAUGUCACCUGGCUGAAGGAGGGCGAUCAAAACACGAGCUACUUCCAAGCACAGGCGGCUCAUCGGAAGUGCAUCAAUCGCAUAACUUCGCUGCAACACGGCGAUGGGCACUUCUGUACUGAUCCGGCAGAAAUAAAACAUGAGAUUUUUUAUUUUUAUCAAGGACUGUAUCAAUCCCAAGAGUACAAUCCAAUGGAUGAAUUGUUAAACUGUGUUCAACCCCGAGUGUCGGAGGCAAUGAACUUUAUUCUCGAGAAGGACUUUGUGGCAGAGGAAGUUCAGAAAGCUCUCUUUGAGAUGGCUCCAUCAAAAGCACCGGGAGUGGACGGUUUCACGGCUGGUUUCUUCCAGCGACACUGGAAUGUUGUUGGUGAAGAUGUGAUAGCGGCAGUUCUUGGUCUCCUUAAUGGAGCUGAAAUGCCAGUUGGGCUGAAUGAUAUUGCAAUCACACUGAUUCCCAAGGUAACACACCCUCAGAAGAUUUCUCAGUAUAGACUGAUAUCUCUUUGCCCGGUGCUCUACAAGAUUGCUUCCAAGGCGAUUGCAAAUAGAGCGCGCGGGAUACUGGACGAAGUUAUUAGCGAAGAACAGAGUGCUUUUGUCCCAGGCUGGUUAAUGACGGAUAAUAUCCUUGUUUCUUACGAGACGAUACAUGCAAUCAAAUGCAGAAAACGUGGCAACAAUCCCUGUUGUGCUAUCAAGCUUGAUAUGCUUAAGGCAUAUGAUUGGGUGGAAUGGCAUUAUCUCGAGGCAAUGUUAACUAAACUAGGCUUCAAAGAUCGUUUUGUUAGGCUGAUCAUGAACUGUGUUACUUCAGUACGGUUCACUAUAAAGGUAAAUGGAGAGCUAUUGCCUUUCUUCAAUCCAACAAGAGGGCUGCGACAAGGAUGCCCCCUGCCCCCGUACCUUUUUCUCAUUUGUGCUCAGGGGCUCUCAUCGUUGCUGAACUUUUAUAAUGGAGCACCAUUGAACAGAGGCAUCCGGGUUAGUAUUCAUGCACCUUGGGUUAAUCACCUGCUUUUUGCUGAUGAUAGUUUGAUUUUCCUAAGAGCAAACACCCAAAGUACUGCGAGGCUGAACGAUAUUCUCCGCAUCUAUGCUGACUGCUCGGGUCAAGCAGUCAAUAAGGAGAAGAGCUCGAUUUAUUUUAGUGCAAACACAGAACAAACGCUCCACGAGAAUCUGAAGCUUGAGCUGGGGAUCACAGUGGAAGCAAUCUCGGAGCGAUAUCUUGGACUGCCCACGGCAAUCGGCAAGAUCACGAGUGGGACUUUCAUGCAUAUCAACGAAUGUAUUCGCGACAAGGUCCGGGGUUGGUCAGAGCGUAAUCUUGCUUGUGCUGGACGACAGGUUUUACUGAAAUCCAUCGCUCAAGCAAUUCCGACUUUCAGUAUGAGUUGUUUUCAACUUACUAAACAGGUGUGCACGGGGAUCACUUCGUGUAUGGCCAAAUAUUGGUGGGAAAUCUCUGUUGACAAACGAUCGCUGCACUGGCUUUCUUGGGACAAAUUGGCGACCCUAAGAUUAAAGGAGGCAUGGGAUUCAAGGACCUACACCUGUUCAAUCUAGCCAUGCUAGGCAAGCAGGGUUGGAGACUCCUUACGCAUCCUACGUCGCUUUGUUCCCGAGUUCUCAAAGGAAAAAAAUUCCCUACUUCGGAUUUUCUCCAAGCUACGUUACCGGCAAGGGCGUCAGUGACCUGGAAAGCAAUUAUGGUAGGUCAAGAAGCUUUGGAGAUGGGUUUGGUUCACCGCAUUGGUGAUGGAGCUACUACUUCGAUCUGGGAUGAUCCAUGGAUCCCAAACAUCGCAGCUCUGAAACCUACAGGUCGAUUGGGCAAUGCACCUCUUGAGCUUGUCUCAGACUUAAUUGAUCCCUACAACAAUUCUUGGAACAUAGACUUGGUUCGUCAAUCUUUCUUUCACCAUGAAGCUGAAGCCAUUCUUAAUAUCCUUUUGAGCCAAUCUGGUGGGGAGGAUAGCCUAGCAUAGGCUUUAGAGAAAUCAGGAAUCUACACUGUUAAAUCAGUGUAUCGUUCUCUUGUGACCCGCAACGAGCUACGCUCAAUAGGGGAAGGGACGAUCACAGAAUCUUCAUCGGCAAAUAAACGGCUGUGGACUGAUCUCUGGAAGCUCAAAGUGCUGCCCAAGGUUAGAGUAUUCUGGUGGGGAGUGCUCCUGGGGAUCCUACCAGACUCAAUGACCUUGCAAUAUCGGCAUAUUAAACCACGCGACAUGUGUGAAAUAUGUCGCUCUUCGGGGGAAAAUCUGAAGCACGCUUUGGUGGCGUGUGUUCAUGCAAAAACCUUUUGGAUGGCACCCAGGGAAAGGUUUGAUUUUCAUCUCCCAAAUUUGCACCCGCUUACUUGGGUGCAAGAUAUUUUGCUAGACCCCAUGUUUACUGCAUACAAUAGGUGCUUGGUGAUUUCUAUCAUGCAUGAUAUUUGGUCUUCGAGGAACAGAUGGACCCAUGAUCGAGAUGGUUACGAUUCAGUGCAGGCGAUCGAAUGGGUACACGAAACCCUCGUUGUUCUAGAGCUUCCUAGGGCAAGAUCAGUGCCUGGAGCUCAUCUAUGGCGGCCACCGGAGGCAGGAUGGAUCAAAAUCAACACCGAUGGAUCAGUCAUCCCAGACGCUCUCUCGGGAGGGGCUGGUGGCGUCGCCCGCUCUCAUCUCGCUUUCCUUGGAGCAUGGAGUAAACCCGUGCCAGGCAUCUCCCAUCCCUUCGUUGCCGAGCUACUAUCCUUCCGUGAGGGGGUGAUUUUUGCACAGCUACGGGGUUACUCACAUGUGAUAAUGGAAGUUGAUAGUCUGGAGCUUGUCAACUUAUGGAAUUCGCGACACAAUUCUCGUUCUAUUGCGGCGUCUAUCUGAAACGAAGUGGAGGAUAUUACCCUUAGUUUUACUAGUUUAGUGCCCGUGCGUUGCCACGGAACAACAAAAUUACUGUCCCUAUCAUUGUUGUUGGUUAUCAAAUUCGAUUCAAUCUACCAGAUUGUCUUGACGCUACACUUAACCCCUUAUCUUUCGUUGUCGUUGGUCAAUGAGAGGGUCAAGAAUCAUCCUUCCAUCGUCCUAGCUGAAUGCUUGUGCGUUGUCAUGGAACCAAAAAAUAUUUUAAUUCAUAAAUCUAUUGAACUUGUAUAAACAUUGUUUCAGUCAUACAACGACAAGUAUCCAUUUCUUUCCUGCCCGCUUCUUUCAUAAUUGCAUCAAAUAUAUCCUUAUCUAGUACUCCUAUAUGACAAGGAAUGAAAAAUAAGUAAAAUGACAUCAAACGUGAGUAAUACUGAUAUGCUUUACAGCCCCUAACAGGCCAACAAUCAGCUGGAAACGAACAAAUUAAUAAUAAUAUAAAACUUAUCUUUCAGGACAUCUAGAUAAUAAUUCAUCUUAUAUUGAAAUAUGAAAAUACAAAAAUAGAAUUCUGAAUCUGUCAUACACUACAUACAUAGAAGGAAAAAUCUUGUAUUGAAAUAAAUUUAUAUUAUAAUAUUUCAUAUUUAUGGACACUUCAAGACAAGGGUUUUAGCUAUUGUUGUACUUCCAGCUACAUAUAUAUUUUCUUCUAAACUAUAAUACAUAUACACAGGAGCGUGCACAAACAAAUCUCCUGAUGCAAAAUAAAAAAUGAGUAGUAUGCCCAAAAUACACGUCAGUGUCUAAUUAUACAAGUACAAUAAUAAUUUUGAGGAUAGAUAGACUAAGACAGACCAAGAAACUGCUUGGAAGUCUAUUCAUUGGAGUACCAAAAUAAAAAAAAGAAUAAGCAUCAAUAUUAGGAGUUGUGCUUCCCAUUCCUUUCAAAUAUGAUAAUAUCAUCAAAAAAGUAACGCACUCAUAUAAUCAAAGUUGCAUGAAGUAAGACGCAGAAGAUCUCUACAUGGGGCUCGACCGUGUCCCCUGUUAUGUCCAUCCUCUGCGUAGCACCUCUCACAACAGAUCAACUUGUUGCUCAGUAAAUCACCGCAUUUCUUUCCUUAGAAGCGUAUGUGGAGUCUCUCCUCGGCCAUCUUCGUCUUUGUGUCCAAACAUUGGGCUCCACAUAAAUAGAGAGAUAACCAAAUACUUGCAAUGUUGUUAAUCUGUAUUUCAAUAUUAGUCAGUAAUGGUGUGAAAUUGAGCUAGUUUUGUAUCUAUGGGUUGAUAAACUUCCCAGUGAGAAGUCAUGCAUCCGUCAAUUUGCAGCAUACAAAGAAUGUGAUUGAUGUGAGUGGAUAUUGGUGUUCUGGUGUUGAUAUAAGCAAAUCUCUUAAUGAACUAAAGCCAUCGGCCAUAUCUAUACCAUAUGGGACAAUGCCUAGUAAAAACAAUUUGCAGUCACAAGACGAAGCCAAGUGCUGACAAAAAUGUCAUGAGAAGCCAGCUGGUACAGUUCACCAUCCCAGCAUACUUGAUAGUGCAAAUGACAUACGAUUAUCACAAUGUAAAGUUUUUUUUACCAGUACUAAAUACUGCCCAUCGGAUUAAGGCCAACUUAUAAAGAUAAGUUUCAUGGUGGAUUAGAGACCACUCGGUAAUUCAGAAUCGAGAAGAAAAAAAUACAUAUAACAGGUAGCCGACAAAGCAGAUAAUAAAGCUGAAAUAUCCCCUUAUAUUUCUUCCAGUGAAGUCUCGCCUUUAAUCAUCCAUCCAUAUGUAGUCAUAAACAAUUGAUAAAAGGAGCAGUAUGCUUAGGGAAAAUAUUUUUUUUCUGUGCACAACACUCUAAUAAACACAGUACAGGUUGAUUAAAAGAUAUCCAUCUAUAUAAAGCUCUUGUUUGGUUCUACCCGAGUGCUGCUAAAUGUGAUGGUGGAGUUUCUGCUUGUGAAGAUGCCUUUUCACUCAUCGACUUUACCCACUCACUCCUUCAGCUCCUAAUCCUGCCUGUUUGAGCCAUUACUUUGCCUAAUAUUCUCCUACCAAAAGGAACAACACAUUCACGCAUCCGUUCAGUCAGUUAUGAAAAUUAUGAUAAGCAGGAGAGGCUCGACUAUGAAUCAAUCGAUCCAUGCCCCCUUACCGAGGUGGAACUCAUGGUGACAUGAGAGACUCAUCUUCAUCAAUGUCUCCGCACAGCCACAAUGAGGCAGGUUCAUACAUCUAGCUGAUCUUGGUUAUUACUCGAUGAUUCACUGUCAUCCCCGUGUCUUCUGUUGGUAGCGAAAAAGUUGAGCAGUUUUACAUCAACAAUUACAUACAAAUAAAAUCAUUGUGUUGUCUUCUUCGUGGUGUAAGACUACUUAGUAGGGUGCAUGUCAACCGAACAAUAAGAUGCGUUUUGUGUGAAUUUGAACCCAUAAAUCUCAGACAUGUGAACAAACAGACAUUCAAUUAUUAGUCUGAUAGUCUAGUUAGUUUAAAAAAUAUUGAGUUGCAUAUAACUUUCAGGUGAGCAACAAACAAAAAUCUCUAUAACCACAUACUUGUUAUUGGAGAGUGAACAGUUGUUAUUUCACGUAUCUUACCUUCAUAGACAAUAGAGGAAAACUUCAACUCCAUUAUUGACGCUAUCUCCAUUGCAAGAUUCAGGAAAGAAUUUCUGUUGAGAACCAGUGAAAAAACUAUUAUUAAAAAUACAAGACCACAUGAUGAAGCACGUACUAUUUCAUUUUUCAGUCCUACAGUGUAACAUCAAGAAACAAGCGCUAAUUAAUUCAAGAAUUACAUCAUAACUUUCAGGUGAGAACCAAAUAAAAGUUCCUAUUUCAUUUUUCAGUCCCACGGUGUAACAUCAAGAAAGAGCCCUAAUUAAUUCAAGAAUUACAUCAUAACUUUCAGGUGAGAAAUAAAUAAAAGUUCCUAUAACCACUUGCUUGUUCUUGGUGGAUCAAAAUUUAAAACAUGAAGGCAAGUUGCAAGUUGUCAAUAGGAUCUGGACAACACAUGAAGCUUCCACCGUUCAGCUGUGUGUGUGAGAGAGAAAAAGAGGGAGAGGAUGGCUAACAAGAUGAUAGAUUUGAUGCGACGAAUGGGGGUGAAGAGGGUGGGUACCUGUGGUUGAGUGCUCCCCGUCCCAGGGUAGUGUUUACUGGCUCUUGGCAUUGAUGAAGAGAAGAAGAGGGGGGAGGGGGGGUCAGCACAAUAGAGGCUGUCUCUUAUACACAUCUCCNAACACUAAAUAAUAGAUACUGAUUUUUUCUUGUAUUUAUAGGCUGUAACACAGCAAAAGAGGGCUCAGUGUUGUCUUUGAUCUUCAAGCCUAACACUCACAUCUCUUGCUGCAUGACAUACCCAUCACAAUGUAAACGAACUGCCCUGGUUAUCACUCGUCAGAAUGACUAUCUGAGGCGCAGAACAUCCAACAUAAAGCUUAGAAAGAUCGAGGAGGCCAGAUUUAAGCAUUAUAUCAAGUGUUGUUCUAACCUGGCUUGUUCGCAAAUAUUCACAGCUAUGACUCUGCAUCAUCUAAGAAAGCACUUUCUCAAGUGUUGUUCUAACCUGACUUAUUCGCAAAUAUUCACAGCUAUAACUUUGCAUCAUCUAAGAAAGCAUUUUCUCUAAUAUGUAUUACGAAAAACUGAACCUUGAGGAACAGAGUGGAAUGAAUCAAUUCAUCAUAGACACUGCGUAUUAGCAAAUCAUGUAGAUGCACCUCCCACUCCACUUUCUUAUAAGUGCUUCUCAAAUUGAAGAAAAAGGAAGAUCCUAAACUCUAAAAUUGAACCGAACCUUUUGAUUUCCUCGUCAGAUUGCAUGCGUGAGCAUAAACAUCCGGCCCAUGCAUCUAAAUACUACUAAACUCCUAUCCACGGAUAAAUUGCAAACUGGAGCAAGGUAUGCUAAAAUUCAUUUAGCAAGUGACCAAACACAUGGUCAGACCAAAACAAUCAAUUGGCUAUGCCGACGUAUACCUAGCAAUCUAACAGAAAAGGUCCAAAAAGGAGGAGAAGAGGGAUUAACCUGUAGAUCAAUGAAUGUAGACGCAACGGGGUCAAUCGGGUCAGACUAAAGGAGGCACCAGCAAGAGCGGACGGAUCGAUCUGCAAGGAAAACAAGGGGCAAUCAAAGAGGAGGAGCAGCCAACGGUGGCCAAGGAGAGGGCACAACAUACACUGUAAGUGCAUCCAGUGCCCCUUAGUGAUUUCGGUGGUUUGAAGACUUAUAGGUUAAGUAUCUAAUGUGUUUAUAAGUGUACACAUGAUCUAUAAGUCAUUGAGGAGUUUGAGAUAUUUGAAGAAUAUCGACCCCUAAAAAUAUAUGUCUUCAGUUGAAGAAAUUGGUCUGAAGCUGAAGAAAUGAAUCGCGAAGAAUUUGCGAUGAAAUUGAUAUUCCUCAUGAAGAUAUUGAUAUUGAGAAGAUCGGUGGUUCCUGAAGAAAAUCGUUCUGAAGAAAUUGAAGCAUGAAGAUUUACGUUUUCUAUUUUACUUUCUUCGCAUUUGAUGAAUAGGAACACCGUACUGUUAAAGGGGGUGAAAGUAACGCUAUGGAAUGAAUUUCCUCAUGAUGCUCAACCCAAACCAAAUCCUACCAAAAGCCUCAAGUGAGGAAUAUGACUGACAUGAGGACUCUCACAUUUGAGGGUCCCGACCGUUUCGAUAGCCACGCCAAGUCACUGGUCUUAUCCACUCCAACGGUCAUAUUAUUUAAAGGCAUUAAUGUCAAAUCAUGUCGGGAUGCUCCCAGGCUAUAAAUAGCCGCCCCCCACAACCACUAGCUGGUUGGCUGCUCCGUUAGAAACUGACACUUGUCAUAAGAGCAACCCAAAUUCCUCAGAGCUUUCGAGAGUAAAUCAUCAGUGAGGAAAUACACCACCCACCGAAACCACAAACCAAAACUAGUGAUUGAGCAUCACUGAAGAAGUUGUUCCUGUGUGGGACUGAAGCCUUUUACCUUUGAGGACUGUGCAUCCUCCAGACGGUUAGACGUCAUGGUCUAGAGCAAUCCAGCAGUCAAUUGUGGAUCGCCGGGUGACCGAGUUUGUGAGGGUUUGGAAGUCUGCCCUGAAGACUUACCAUGAGUGUUGGGCGAGGACUGUGUGUCCUUAGCUCAAGGAGAAUGCGGUAGGGACUGUGUGUCCCGGGACUGGGUGUCCUUUGGUUUCAAUACCAAGCCGCUCCAAACCAGAUGUACAACUGUCACAACAGUUGGAACUGGGUCAUCAACAACAGUCUUCUCCAAGAAUCGGGUUCUAAUUCCUCAACUCUUUACUUUCUCUGUAUUUUGUGUUGAUGACUUUCACUGUGACUGUUUGAAGAAUUUGCUGAAGACUUUCUCUGAAUUUCCUCAACCCCAAAUUCUUCACUUGAGUUAAUCAUCAUCUGUAUUCUGCGUGCCUGCUUACUGUGCAAUCUGUUUUCACAUUCUUCACUCUGUAAUACUGCUAUUGUGAAAGUUUGCACGUCUGAUCCGUAACCGUUUCCGCUAUAAGUUAGUCGUCAGUGAGGAAUUUCCUCAAAAGGAAUUUCCUCAGUGAUGAAAUUCUAAAAAUCUCCUAUUCACCCCCCCCUCUAGUCGAUAUAACGCACUUUCAAUUGGUAUCAGAGCAAGGUACUCCCUUGUUCUGUGUGAUUUUGGUUUAACCACCUGGAGUUUUAGUUAUGUCGACUGCAGGCAUGUUUAAGGUGACUGCAGCAUGUCCUACCUACGAGGGAAAGAAUUUUCCCUUCUGGAAGAACAAAAUGCAAAUGCAUCUACAAGCUAUAGACAAUGAUCUCUGGUAUAUUGUGGAAAAUGGUGUCCCCAUUAUUUCUGCUAGUGUCACUGCAGCUGAUGUGAAGAAAUUCAAGCAACUCGAUUCUCAAGCGAAGAACAUCAUCUGUGGUCAUCUGAGCCCUGGCCAGUUUGGAAGAGUAAGUGCCUUAGGCUCUGCAACACUGAUCUGGGAGAGACUGUGCAAGGUAAAUGAAGGAGUAUCAACCCAACGCGACUCUCGUGUUGAUAUUCUUCGCAAUCUCUUCAAUCGCUUCAAGAGACAUGACAAUGAAAGCUGCCAAGACACCUUUGAUCGCCUCACUGACAUAUCAAAUGAACUGCAAGCACUGGGAGCUCGAGACAUCACUGAUCACGAAGUUGUGAAGAAACUGCUGAGAUCUUUGGAUUCUUCAUUUGACACUUUAGUUCUCAUGAUCCAAGAAAGACCAGACUACAAGAUGCUAGAUCCUGCUGAUAUCCUUGAAAGGCUAAAUACUCAUGAAUUCCAGCUAGAAGAAAAGAGAGAUCUAUAUGGACAAAGCUAUUCCAGACCACGUGCACUGAAGGCAAGAGCAAUUUCCUCAUCUGAAGAAGAAGACACAGAUGACAGAAGUUGUGACCCUGAAGAAUUUGGUCAGGAACUUGCAAUGCUUGUGAGGAAAUUUCAGAGAUUUACACGACAAGGCCAGUCCGGUAAAUCAUCAAGAAGAGACAUGAGGAAAUCAGAAUCUGCAUCUGAGGACUACAAGAAACGGACCUGUCACAAGUGCAAGAAAUCAGGUCAUUACAUUGCUGAUUGUCCUCGCUGGGGAAAGGAAUCAAAGAAGAAGAAAUACAAGGAUGACAGUUCUGAUGACUCAAAGAAGAAGAAGAAAUCUUCAAAAUCUUCAUCUUCAAAGUCCUCCUCACACAAGAAGACUAGCGUCAGAAAGGCUCGGGCACUUAUUGGCAAGGAAAUGGAUUCCGAGGCAGAAUCAGAAGAAUGUGAUGAUGAAGAAGGCUCUGGAGAAGAUUCAGAAUCCGGACAGGCUAGUCUUGCACUAGCAACCAAUUUCGUCAGCAAGUCAAUCUUCAAUCUUGAAGAAAAUGAGUGCACCAUCCAUACUGAUGACUAUGCUGAUGACUUCGCUCCAACCUAUUGCUUCAUGGCAAAAGGUUCAAAGGUAUCACAUAAUGCCUCCUCAUCUGAUUCAAGUGACUGUGAACAUGAUGAUUACAAAAAACCCAGUUACAAUAAACUUGCCAUCAUUGCCACUAAACAACAAACUGCUCUGGAAAAGCUUCAAAAACUGCUAGACAAAAGUGAUGAUUUGUUGAAUGAUGAAAUGAAUCUUAAUCAAAUCCUCGCUCAUGACAUGAAAAAUCUUCAGUCUAGAUUUGAUAUUCUUCAGGAUCGUUAUGAUACACUCCUCACUGAUCAUGAGAAGCUUUCCUACGAAUUUCUUCAAAGGAAGCUUGAUCUUGAGAAGCUGAGGAUGUCUUAUGAUGAUCUUCGUAUGGAAAAUGAUUCAUUACUAGCUCAACAGAUCAGCGCUAGUCAAGUUGAAUUUAUUCCUCCAUGUCUUAAAUGCAUUGACCGUGAAACUGCUAAUUCUUCACCAGAAUCUUCAAAUUCUACCACUGCUACAAAUACUUCAACUGCACUUGUUGUGUCUAUUUCCUCACUUGAGGAAAACACAAAUGUCACUGAUGAAAAUGCAGGGUUGAAGGAAUUGUACGUAACAGGCAUGUACAAAAGCCUCAAAGGACAUCAAAUCCUUUGUGAUGUGCUCAAAAAGCAGAUCUUGAACAGGAACCCGAGGAAAGAAGGAAUUGCCUUUGAGAGGAAAUUGAAUGCUGAUGGAUCCUAUUGGAAACCUAAGCAGUAUCCCAAAACCUCAUGGGUUGCUGCUACUGGGCCUCCUUUUGAUCCAUCUAAUCUAACUGGCUUCUCAUGUGAAUUAUCCUAUUCCUCGGAUGAGUCAUUUGAUUCCAACUAUAAACUGUUCAAAGAUCAAUCCGGUGAAGUAUUUGCUCGAUAUGUUGGAACUAACUGCAGGAAUGGCCCUCCUCUGAGGAAAAUCUGGGUUCCCAAAAGUUGUCUUGAAAAUCUUCAAGUAAAUGUCCUCAUGACAUCACCUCUGAAGAAUCUGAACCCCAGAUCAAAUUCCUCAGGAGGACCAAAGUCUUCAAGAGGAUCAAAAUCCUCAACUGGUCAAAACUAUGCUCAUACCCAUGCUUAUGCGUCUAACAUGCAGGGAAACUACAAGGAAUAUGAUUAUGAGCUCUAUUCUUCAAGUCAUUAUGUUCAUAAAUCCUCAAACCAGUUCUCUGCAUACUCAUAUGAGUACUUUAACCCCCCUACUGUUAAGAGAAGUGCAUUAGCUUCAAUGCCACCUUUCUCAUAUGGUGCUCGCAGGAUGAUGAACGCUUUGCCACCCCUUCAGAUGUGGGUGGUGAAGAAAUCAAACUAAUCACUUCUGCAGGUCAGGUCUCCAGAUGAAUAUCAUCAUCUGAAGAAUUUGUUGGAGACCUGAGGAAAUGCUUGAUAGGAUGCAAGCUAAUGAUUGAUGAAAUAGAAAUAUUUCACACGUCCUUACAUUUCUGUUAUGAUGAAAUUAGUAUCAUAUUCUUCAAAUUUGAAGCAUAUGAGAUGGUAAGCUGUACUAAUUCAUCUGCAGGAUGACAAACCCAAAAAUACUGAGUGGGUUCUCGAUAGUGGCUGCACACAUCACAUGACUGGUGAUAAAAGCCUACUGAUGAAUAUGCCACUAACUCCAUCACCUCUGAAGCAAAUCACAUAUGCUGAUAAAAGGUAAAAGCAAGGUAUUGGGACUUGGCAAAGUAGCUAUUUCCAAGGAUAUGCAUAUGGACAAAGUGAUGCUUGUUGAAUCCCUUGGUUUUAACCUCAUGCCAGUCUCGAUGCUUUGUGAUCUUGAUAUGAUUGUUAUCUUUGGUAGAUAUAGAUGUGUAGUCAUCAUGGAAUCUGACAGAUCCAAAGUCUUCGAAGGUGUAAGAAGAGGGAAUUUGUACAUUGUUGACUUCUCUACAGGUCCUCAACCAGCCACUUGCUUACUAGCAAAAACCUCAGAAGGAUGGCUGUGGCACAGAAGACUAGGUCAUGCAGGCAUGAGGAAUUUGCACACACUUGCAAAGAAGAAGCAUGUCAUUGGCAUCGAAUCAGUCAAAUUCCUCAAGGAUCAUCUCUGCGGUGCUUGUGAAUCUGGGAAAAUGACCAGAUCCAAGCAUCCCUCCAAAACCAUCAUGACCACUACACAUCCAUUUGAAUUGCUUCAUAUGGAUUUAUUUGGACCUACACACUAUGCAACACUAACCAAUGCAGCAUCUCUAUAUGGCUUUGUCAUAGUUGAUGAUUAUUCCAGAUACACUUGGGUGCAUAUCAUAGUGUAUAAAACUGAAGUGCAGGAAAUCUUCAAACGAUUUUCUUCAAGGGCCUCGACGAACUUUGGCAUCAAGAUCAAACAUAUAAGGAGUGAUAAUGGAACCGAGUUCAAAAACACUGGUCUUGAUGAACUUGGUAUUACUCACGAAUUGUCUGCUCCUUAUACUCCUCAGCAGAAUGAUGUCGUCGAAAGAAAGAACAGGACUCUGGUUGAAAUGGCAAGAACUAUGCUUGAAGAAUAUCAGACUCCUCGUCGCUUCUGGCCUGAAGCAAUCAACACUGCAUGUCAUAUCAUCAACAGGGUAUAUCUUCACAAAUUCCUCAAGAAAACCUCAUAUGAACUCCUCACUGACAAGAAACCCAAUGUAAGUUAUUUCAAAGUCUUCGGUGCAAAAUGCUGGAUUAAAGAUCCUCAUCAUAGCUCGAAAUUUGCACCUAAGGCACAUGAAGGUUUUAUGCUCGGUUAUGGAAAGGACUCGCACACCUACAGAGUCUUCAACAACUAUCACAACAAAGUUGUUGAGACUGUAGAUGUGCGGUUCGAUGAAACUAAUGGCUCGCAAAGAGAGCAAUUGCCUUCUGAUCCAGAUAAGCUGUCUCCUGAGGAAGCAAUAAAGCUUAAGCCUACUGAAGACAUUGUUCCCACUGAGGAAAUUGGUGAAGAAACAAUCCCUAUCGCUGAUGAAAGUCAAGAAGAUGCUCCUGAGGAAAUUGCAACAGCACCACUUCCUCAGCCCAGACAAAAUCCUCAACCAGCUCAUCCAAGGAUUGCAAAUGAAGUAGAACUUGACAAAAUCCUCAACGACAUCAACGCGCCAGGUCCUCUCACUCGCUCAAAAGCUUCACACUUAGUUAACUUUUGUGGGCAUUUUUCUUUUGUAUCUAUCACAGAACCCUCAAAAGUAGCUGAGGCUUUUCUGAAACCGGAGUGGAUCCAAGCCAUGCAAGACGAACUUCUUCAAUUCAAGCUGAAUGACGUAUGGGAGCUCGUCAAACGACCAGAUCCUCGCAAGCAUAACAUAAUCGGCACCAAGUGGAUUUUCCGAAACAAGCAAGAUGAGGACGGUCAAGUGGUGAGGAACAAGGCACGACUUCUAGCCCAAGGCUACACCCAGGUUGAAGAAAUAGAUUUCGAUGAAACUUUUGCACCUGUUGCUAGACUUGAAGCUAUUCGAAUCCUACUUGCUUAUGCUAAUCAUCAUAACAUCAUCUUAUAUCAAAUGGAUGUGAAAAGUGCAUUCCUCAAUGGUAAGCUUGAGGAAGAAGUAUAUGUUGCUCAGCCCCCAGGUUUUGAGGAUCCAAAGAAUCCAGACAAAGUCUUCAGACUCAAAAAGGCUCUGUAUGGCCUCAAGCAAGCCCCUCGGGCAUGGUAUGAUACAUUGAAGGAAUUCCUCAUGAAGAAAGGCUUCAAACCUGGUUCACUCGAUCCAACUCUUUUCACAAAAUCUUAUGAUAAUGAACUGUUUGUAUGUCAAAUAUAUGUUGAUGAUAUCAUAUUUGGCUGUACUGACAAAAGAUACAGUGAUGAAUUUGCCUAUAUGAUGAGUGAAGAAUAUCAGAUGUCUAUGAUGGGGGAGCUGAAAUUCUUCUUAGGUCUUCAAAUUCGUCAACAAAGCAAUGGAAUCUUCAUAUCACAGGAGAAAUACCUCAAGGAUGUUCUGAGGAAUUUCGACAUGCAUGAAUGCAAAGGUGCCAAGACUCCAAUGCCUACCAACGGUCACCUCGGCACUGAUGAAAAUGGUAAAGAUUUCGAUCAGCAGGUAUACCGUUCUAUGAUUGGCUCUUUAUUGUAUCUAUGUGCAUCUAGGCCAGACAUAAUGCUUAGUGUCUGCAUGUGUGCACGUUUUCAAGCAAAACUGAAGGAAUCACACCAUAAGGCUGUGAAACAUAUUCUUCGAUACUUAGCUCGCACACCAACACUAGGAUUAUGGUAUCCCAAGGGCUCCAAUCUUCAUCUGGUAGGAUAUUCUGAUUCAGACUAUGCUGGUGACCGUGUGGAUCGCAAGUCAACUUCUGGCACAUGCCAUUUCCUCGGAAGAUCACUGGUUUGCUGGUCCUCAAAGAAGCAGAACUGCGUAUCACUCUCCACUGCCGAAGCUGAGUACAUUGCUGCUGGUUCUUGCUGUGCUCAAUUACUAUGGAUGAAGCAAACCCUCAAGGACUACGGCAUCAACAUGAAGAAUGUGCCUCUCUACUGUGACAAUGGGAGUGCUAUCAAGAUUGUCUAUAACCCAGUACAGCACUCGAACACCAAGCACAUCCAGAUUCGUCAUCAUUUUCUUCGGGACCAUGUCCUCAAGGGCAAUAUCCUCAUCGACCAUGUGAAGACUGAUGAUCAACUGGCUGAUAUCUUCACUAAGCCCUUGGAUGAGAAAAGGUUUUGCAAGUUGCGGUGUGAGCUAAAUAUCUUAGAGUCUUCGAAUGUUUUGUAAAAACAUGCACACAUCCUAACACUUAUGCAAAGUUGAUGACUUAGAUGUGCAACACAUGAUGAAACGAUUUUCUUCAACCAAUGAAGAAAGUCACUCUGAAUGUGAAGAAAUUAACGAAGAAAUUGAUCCUCAGGGCCCUACGACAAUUGUAUGCGGCGUCUGUAAUCAACAUUCUUAUAUGGUGGGCAACGCCACCGCCCAAUGUGAAAUUCCUCAAAGUUGAUUUUCUUCAAAUGAUCAAAUUCCUCACAAUGCAUUUUUCUUCAAAACAGUUGUUCUUCAUUAUGAUGAUCUAUUGCAAAAUCUUCAAAAAACACUUGAUGACUUUCAUUUGCCUAGGUAGACUGUGAUUUCUAGUCCUCAACAGCAUUCACUUAUUGCUAUUUCUUCAAGUUGAUGUUUCUGCUAAGUGAAUGUGAUCGGACCCUAUUUUCCCUCUAUGAUAUACUUAUCCGGUCUAUUCAAUUCUUCAUAUGCGUUCUACUUGAAACUUUGUUCAAAAUCCUCACUGCAUCCUUGUCAGCUGACGAUUUUGUAACGAAAAUCCUCAAAUCUUCGAAAAAUUGUUUUCUUCAAAGGAACAGUAACUGAACCCCCACUUCCCACGAUUGGAUAGGCACGAUCUCCACUAUCUCCACCGCAUCGUACGGGAGCUACACGUGUCCUGCGGAGACGUAGAGGCAAGGGCUAUUCAGUCCGAAACUUUCGCGCCAAACAGUAACUUUCGGGCUAUAAAUAUGUCCUUAUCCCCCUCGGUAUCAUCUUCUUCGCCUCAUCGCUCUCCUGCCACAGCACACCGAACCCUAGCGCCACCGCUGGUAGUCUUGUCGCCGGCAAGGAAGAGCUUCACCGCCUCAACCUUCUCGCCGCCAGGAUCACGCCGAAGUCGGAACAUCUACGUCCGCCGCCGCCGUAGACGUCCUCUGCUGCCAAGUUAGGGUGCAUUGGACACUUGAUCGAAGAACCUCUCCAACACCACCUUUUUGUGUUCUUCGUUCGCACCUUCCAGGGUAAUUAUAUCCCAUUUUUACAACAGAUUAGAUCUGAAAUUUUACCUCUCCCAUGUGAAAUCUGUUUUUCCUCAAGAUACGAUGCGCACAUGAUUCCUCAAACACUAUCCAUCACCACAAUCAUUGAUGAACUAGCUAAGCAUCUAAUAUUUUCACGAGAUUCCUCAAUUGUGCGAAUUUUCGGAUCUGUACAACUCUGGAACCCAAGAACAUAAUGCUUAAGCAAAUUCCUCAACCACUGGUUAUAUUCCUCAAACUGUCAAACUUUUCCAUUUUUUUUAAAUCUGAGAACGCAUAUGACCUCUCCAAAUUCCUCGCAACUAUACUCUGUUCACAGGUACACACAUGUCAGCUGAUGAAUCUCUCGGUUCUCAUCACAUUAACUCAUUUGCAGCGUUUCUGGAAGAAACUCUUCAAGGCUCAUCAGAAUCCGUAAGAGUUCAAAAUCCUCAGAAAGUUCCUCGUCUGAAGAAAAUGGAGGAAGAAAGGAAACAGAAGGGAGGAAAGAAACUGGAGCAGAACACAGCUGUUGAUAUUCCUGAUGACAUAUAACUGGACUAUUGCACGCCUGAUGAUGAACCUGAGACUAUGCCUAAAAGAAAGAUUAGGCUGCAGAAAAUUGAACACAGAUGGGCAAAGGAGUGGAAGGAGUACAUGUUUGUGACUCCAAAAUAUGCGAAGAAAUUCGCUUUGAAGCCCCCUGGCAGAAGGGCCCCACUUGAGGAUCAUCAAGUAGCUCAUCCCUCAAGUCUUAUGACACUUGAUGACUACCCAGAUGAAAAAGAAAGGCAUCUGGCCAAGCUCAAGAAGCAAGCAGAAACAGCAGUGAAUAAAUUUCAUGAAUCCCCAGCUGCUGCCUCCGGUGCUGCUCAUUCCUCAUCAGCAGAAACCUCAGGCUCCGAGAUUCCUCAACCAAAGCCCUCAGCUCCAAAACCCUCGGUUCCAAAACCGUCAACACCAAAACCAUCAGCGCCAAAACCCUCAGCACCAAUCGCAUCUACACCAAAGUCCUCAGAUCCACCUCCAAAGCCAGUACAGAAGAAAGUCGUGAAGACUACGACUGCCAGCUCUAACUCCUCACUCCCAGCUGCAACAAGCUCGGAGACGAAGUCUUCAACACUCCUUUUGAAGACUUUGACAACAACUGAACCUGCACCUCUGCCCAGCCCCAGCAAAAUCAUCACAGUCCCAUCUGCAUCAGAGGGAAGUGAUGAAUAUGAUGAUGAAACUCUGGAAGCCAUCAUCAGGAACAAGCAAGAAAGGGUAGCACAAGCAUCAGGCAGUGCUAUUCCUCUGGCGAUGGACCCCAAGGUCCUCCUCGACUUCAUCAAUGUGUGGUAUGAAGACCCAAACACACCCAUUGAUGAUUUGAAACUUCCUCCUGGUGUCAGCCACAUGGUGGCUACCUUCAUAAACGAAGCCAAGUGGAAGGAACAGAAGGCCAAGCAGGCAAAGAUUGCAAAGGCCAGAAAGGAGAAAUUCCUCAGGCAAAAUGUUCUCAAGCUGACGCCUGAAGCAUUGGUGUCCACCCAGGCAGAGCUGCAAGUCUUAACUGACAAGUGUGAGAAACUGUCAGACCGCACAAGCAUCAAACGCAAUUUCAUCAAGCUAGCCACUAGUGCUAUUGAUGACUACAACAAACGUCACCCCCCACCAGCACCGACUCCUCAGUCCCUGGUUGAACAGCCAGAAGAUGCAUCUCCUGAUGAGGAGGAAAUUCCUCAAGCUGAGGAACAACACCAAGAGCGCCGUGCUGAUGAGUCUGCUAUUGAAGAAAUCAUCACCGAGGCCGCUCCUGAUGAAUCUGCAACCCCUGAUGAAACUGCUCCUGAUCCAGCUGCUUCAUCAAAGCAGGCUGGUGACUCUGUUCCAGCUGGUUCCUCACUGCCAGCUGAAGAAUCUGUUGAGAAAACACCUUCACCAAAAACUUCAAAGGUGAAGAAAUUAAUCCCAUCUGCAUCAGACGCGAAAAAGACAAGAACUGCUGAGAAGGAAGCAAAGAAGAGAAAAGCUUCCUCAGCAGAAGAAAAGAUUGAGGCAAAACGCCUCAAGGAAACUGAAGAAUCUGCCCCUCUGGACCCGGUGCCUCUUAAUGUUGCACCCUCAUAUAAAAUGGUCGUCCUUGGUGACCACACUACAAGGGCAGAUGAGGAAAUGAAGAAUGCUGCCUCUGAGGAGCAUACUGAUGAGGAAAUACAAAUUGAUGACAGUCCUCAACCUCAUAUUCCUCAGAAAGAGACUACUGAAGCUUGCAUGCCNNNNNNNNNNNNNNNNNNNNNNNNNNNNNNNNNNNNNNNNNNNNNNNNNNNNNNNNNNNNNNNNNNNNNNNNNNNNNNNNNNNNNNNNNNNNNNNNNNNNAAGCGGCUCGCGCGUGGCAGGCGACCGAGCGGUGGGUUGCGGUGUUUGUCGGAGGAAAGGGGAGGGGGUUUUCGUAAAACUUCAUCAGGGACAUCUAUUUCCGGACGGAGGGAGUACAAAUCAAUCGACUGAUUUUCUGAAAAAAUCAGUUGGGUCAUGGGACGUUCGUGAAGCGUUCGAUUAGUCAACGCAGCAAGAUGAAAACGCAGCACCCACGUCCUCCAUCGGCGGAACGCCCGUUGCACUGCAGCUCCGUUGGCCGGCACACAACGCCACAUCCAUUGCACGGCAGCUCCGCCUGUCGGCAUGCAUCGCCUCGUUCGCCGCACGGCAACUCCACCACUGACUUGCAGUACCAUGCUAGCUGCAUUGCAGCUCCCCCCGCCCACCGGCGAGUGGCAAUGCAGCUCCGUUGCCCACCGAGAGCUGCAAGGACGCGACACACGCGCUCUGUGGAAGCAUUCCCCGUCCACGAUGAGAUCCACUGGUUGCAGAGCUCCUCUCCGCAACAACUGCGGCGCAACAUCGAUGUGCUCGGCAACACCAACUCCAGCACGAUGGUCUUGACGAUGUUGCCCUCCCUACGCUGCAGCGCCGGUGAGCUGUGCGGUUGCUACUUCAGCGACAUCAGUCGUCGUUCCGACAUGGGAUUAUAGUAGCCCCAUGAUGGCUGCAGCACCCCCCCUGGGGCGAGAUUCUGCUUUGGUAGCGCCGGUGAGUGGUGCUGCGAGUAGCGCAUCCAUGGCCUGUAGCGCCUGCGAGAUUCAACAGAUAGCGUGUGAGUUGUUUGUGGUUAAUGUGUGAUGUACGGGAUUACAUACCCGAUAAAAUGAAUGAAUCUAUAUUUUAAAGUAUGUUUAUAUUCAUCCGUAUGUAAUUCAUAAUGAAAUCUUUAAAAAAAACUUAUAUUUAAAAACGAAGGAAGUACAAAGUAGGUUCAUCAAACAAAGGUUCUAUAGAUACAAUACUUUAGCCUGGUGACAAUACAGUUCCAGCUGACCACAGUGGAAUCUCUAGAAAACUUAUAUUUAAGGACGGAGAAAGUACAUAAGUAGGUUCAUGAAACAAAGGUUACAUAUAUACAAUACUUUAAAGCCUAGCGGCAACACAGUUCCCGCUGACAAUUGUUUGCGGGUUGACGCGGUGCCCCCGAGCAGACGCCAAAUUGCCGACCCGUAAAAAAGCAUUUUCUGCGAUUAUCUUUUUUUACGGGUCGCAUUUGCGAGUCCUAACUCUGUCCGCACCCACUCCAGUCUGCAAAAUUAUUUUUCCACGAACGGAUUGACUUUACAGGAGGUUUGCUAGAGAUGCUCUAACAUGUUUAAGAGCUCGGCUAGAUGCCGAUUAGAGGAGUCGGGAUCAGGUAGAGAUGCCCAAGUUGUUGUACUCCUAGCGUAAUUUACUCUUGUAUAUGCAUCUGUUGAGUUACAUAGAGAACUGCAUGACAUCAGCCCUGCCUUUACACAAAUUUAGUCGGCAAUGCAAUUAGGGAGGCCUUCCGGCUGUUGUUGAAAGUGGGAAAUGGAUCCUCAGAAGCGAGCACAUCCCCCUGUCAAAUAUGUUCCUAAGCGCGGUUCUAAGCCUGCUUGUCCGCGGGUAAUUGUCAUUCUGCCUCACGUGCUCACAGUCCUCACACACUGGCUUCUCAUACAAGUAUAUGUCCCCCAGAGCGACCGAUGCUUCCAUGACACUUUUGACGUAAUUCACAAACCUCUCCUCGCACUGAAACCCAAAGACCCUGAGCACAGACAAAUUGUGGUGCUUGAAAUCAGAUGGAGGUGCUUCCCACACUGCACAUGCGUCCUUCUUGUCCUUGCUAAACGCAUAGAUCUUCCUCUGCUCCUCAUCCUCUAUAAUUUCACAUAGAUGAUCCCACACCUGCAUUUCAUCAGGCAAAAAUUACAAAUGCAAGAAAAAAAACAUAUGAAGCUCAACAUUUUAAUGCGCCCAGGAAAGCUGAGAUAGACAAUUCCACAGCAACUCACAUAUGCAGCAAAAAGGGAAAGUGUUUGGAGACUAGCUACAAAACUUUACCUUUAUGCAUAGCUCCUGAAGGGACGGUGCACCUUGGAGAAUGAACAUUGUCCAAUUCAGAUCACAUACUUCAGAAAUGUGGGUCAAAGUCACAUGCCUUAAUUUGUGGAACACCUGCAACAAUUGAUUUGGUUCUUCUGGUUUAACCCAGAUCUGCAGAAGACAACAUAUGUUAACCUAAAGAACAGAGCAUAAAUGGUAGCGCGAACAGAGAAACUUAGUUGACUAACAAGAUUAUCACCUUCACUAACCUUUUCACACAGAAAAUUUAAAUGGAGGUCGCUUAUGCUGGCUUUGCCGAGGAACUCACUUAACUUGAGCACCUUGUGCCGUGCGAGAGCCAUACUGGUGAGGCUCAGAGUCUGGAGCAGUGGGACAUAAUCAAAAGACAAAGGAUCAUGCUCACAGACCCACCAAGAAUAAGUCAGCAUUGUGAGCUUUGGUAGCCACAUGAGAUCAACCCUCUCAAAAUCACACUUGACAAUCUCAAGUUCACGCAGUAGUGGGUGUGACACUUCUAGCAAAGACAGGUACCCCAUGUCACAGUUAUACAGGCGGAGGAACUCCAGUUGCUUGCAUAUACUGAAAAUUUCACGGAAGCCCGAUUCAGCUAGCCUCAAAUUUUCUAGCUUGAGUUGUGCCAAACCACUGAAUGUGUUUGGACAGGCAUCAAGAAAUGACUUGAACUGCCUCCCAUAUGUGAGAACAUCGUCCUUUCUGCAUUGUUUGCCUUCCUUCAUAGUAAAGAGAGAUAAUUUCACCGAGCCAACCUUCUUUGUUACCAUGGUGUUGGCAAGAAUUUGGCCAAUAUUACUAACAGAUCCAUCUCCCAAGAAGAAUUGCACAGACAGGAGGUUAAUGGAGAACGGACUUGUAGUCCUGCUUUCCAGCAGGCUCCUGGUUGCUCCAAGGACGGUGGCAUUGGCCCGAACUACAUUAUCACAGGUCAACUCUCUAUUGCGCUCAUCAUCAAAGGAACCAACUGUUAUAAAAAAUUUGGAGAGCAUGGUAGGAAUCUCCUUCCACCGUCUGGCGAGGAUUCUGGUUCUAGCAGCAUCUGCGAUGUCCAGCCGCCCUAAAAUAUCGAGCAACAGGCCAUCAGGCAAAUUACUGAGCCGAUCCAAUUCAUCUUCUUCCUCUACCUGCAUUUAGCAUGGAAUAAAAUCAGAGUUGAUUUCUUAGAAUCUCCUGGAUGCUAUGUUCAUUAUACUCCCUCCGUCUCUUUUUAGUUCACAUAUAAGAUUUGUCUCGAGUCAAAUUCAGUAACAUUUGACUGAGGUCGUAGGAAAGUAUCAACAUUCACAAUAUAAAAUCGAUAUCAUUAGAUGCAUUAUAUUGAAUUAACUUUCAUGUUGUAUAACUCUAGUACCGUACAUGUUUCAAAAAAAGAUGUAUUUUUUGCUGCUUUCCAAAAGCUAAACUGUAAUUGUGCUAUUUUUUCUGCAGAAAAAAAAAAUCACUUUUUACUACUCCUUUGUCGUUUCUACUACUCCCUCCGUUGGCUUUUUAUAAGACGUUUGAGGCAGCCAACAUUGAACUGUUUUGGGUGCUGUCUAAAAUAUCUACGUACGUCUUAUAAAAGUGAAGAGAGUACCCGUAUAAGAGGAUUUAGAUGAAGAAUUGUCUCAGGAAAAAGAAUCUAGAGGAUAAGUAACUCACCAGAUUGGCUAGACAGGACCAUCGGUUAUGCAUGUUGAGGCCUCUGGCCGAUGGUUUGGCCGUCGGUCUGGCAAACGCUUGCCGGCCUAGAGAGCUCGACAUGGCUGGAUAGGUUUUGCUCGUCUCCUCGGAAAUUUGGCAGCUGAAGGCUCACGAGUUGCCGCUACUUGGUCUCCUAAAGAUAUUAGCGGUUGCCGCCAGGAUAUACGUAUAUAUAAAUAUACCCCAGGUUGCCGCCACCAAUGGAAACUCGGAGACUGGAUUAGAAAGAGGGCCUGUUUCUGAUUGUAAUCCGGAAAGGACUGCCGGUCGCAGCUCGGAGAGGAGCUGCUGCUGCUGCUGCUCCAAUUGGGGAUUACAGCUGCUUAUUUGGGCGCCUCUUCUCAAGCACCGCUGGAUCCUCAUUCGAGACAUCCUACGGCGACGGCGGCUGCGCGAAGCGGGGAGAUCGGCGCACGGCAAGCGGCAGCGCAUAGCUGACACCAGAUCCCCUUUUCCUCUCUUGGUGGAACCCUAGGACCUGGUAGGAGCUAAUUUUUUUAAAUAUUGCAAUUUUUUUAUUCUUUUUGAAAAAUANNNNNNNNNNNNNNNNNNNNNNNNNNNNNNNNNNNNNNNNNNNNNNNNNNNNNNNNNNNNNNNNNNNNNNNNNNNNNNNNNNNNNNNNNNNNNNNNNNNNAAGGUCACAAAUGGAAAUCAAUGACCAUUCAGUGACCAAUAUUGAAGGUCGUUAGUUAACAUAUUUCUUGUAGUGAAUACUAUUUCAGAAACUAAAAGCUUAAACUUCACAAAAGGUACUGGUGAACUAAACAUACUCAUAAAUUUGAUAGUUUAAAACUUAGUACUCAUCAACUAAACAUACUCAUAAUUAAAUUUCAGAGCUUAAAACUUCGCAAAAGGUACUGAAAUAAUUAAACUACUCUUAAUCCAGGAUUAUCCUCAAGUGGCGACACUUCUUCCGAUUGUACACACCAUCUUUUUUAAAGUGAGCAACGUUUGUCUCUAGGUCAACCAUUUCUAUCGUGAGUUAUUUUUUCUUUAGCUUUAAUUUAUCCCUCUCCUCUGUCACCUUAUCCCUCAGCUACCUUAGUUUUUUUUAACUUAGUGAGGGCAUUAGCACCCUGUGUGCGCAGACUAUCCCUUUCAUUCUUCACCGCGACAUUGUGUUCUUCGAGUUUUUUGAUGCUCCACUAUGACUCCUCUAAGAGCAACUGAUUCCACUUCUCCACGUCGCCCACCGAUUCAUUGUUGCUUGAUGAAUUGUCCAUAUGUGCCUUUUCAAAUUAUGUACAAAAGGAAAUUAAAACUUGUAAUGAAAUCUCACCAUCUUAGAAUGAAGGAUUUAAAAAUAACAUGGAGAACUAAACAUUAGGUUGAUCCCUUGCUUUCAGAUUUGUCAGCAAGAACUAGAACAUAAUUAAGCACCAUGUUUUACUAGCAUAUGAUAGACUUAAUGUGUGCUAUUUUAUCUAUCACGACAAUUAAGCACCGUGGUUUACUAGCAUAAUUAAGCACCGUGUUUUACUAGCAUAUGAUAGAUUUGUUAGCAAGAACUAGAAAAUAAACAUUAGGCAUUAUGAAUAACAGUAAAAUUUAACGUGUGCUCUUUUAUCUAUCAUGAUAAUUUGUACCCACAUCGUAGAUGCCACUACACAAUUAAAGGGAAAACAUCAAGGUAGAUUGUCGAGAUUGAAUAGUUGAUCGACAUAUCAUGGUUCUUACCAAGAAAAACAGAUCAUGGUGGAAGCAGCAUGUUAUACCGUGCCACAUUCAAGAAUGAAUAAGAGCUCGUACUACAUCUUUACCAGACCCCAAUUCACAACGCUUCACGGCUAGUAGUACAUGUUCAACAACUAGAAACACAAAAACAGAACUUAUGAAACCUAAUUUCUGAGGUGAAACUCCCAACUUCAUGCUCAUGCAAACUCUCUUGCCAAACUGUUACACUCACAACUACAUCAUCAGAGCGCUAUCUAAUUUGUCCCAACAUUGAGGGAUGGUAACAUACAAGAUGGUAGAUAGAUUUGGUGGGGAAGACUGAUUUGAUGUACCUGCGCUUGAGUGUUGGGUGGUAGCAUCGAGCGGGCCAGCGGUAGGGAUCGAGAGGAGGACGGGUGUAGUUGAGGAUGGAUAGAGUGAGAACGAAAGGAUAAGGUUAUUUUUACCGCGUCGGGAGCUGUUAAAACCGACUAAUGCUGAUGUGGGCCUAAUGUGCCUGAAUAUGCAAUACCGAGCCUAAUAUGCAACGCCAACACUAAUCAAAUAGCUAUGGCCUAUGAAUUUAGGCAACGUCAGCACUAUUUGAAAAUAUUAGUGCUCGCGUUCGUGAGAAAUGGCAUGUCAGGAACAAGAGUUGUGGCUAGCUAUUUCUCCACUAGUGUCUAUUUCUAAUGAUAAAAAAUAUAGUUCUUCUGUGUAUUAUGAUUAACUUAUAAUCAACAUAUUUAGGUAUUUGAAAAACCAUCAAUGAUAUAUUCAUACAUAUUUCUUAAAAUGUCACAUCAUUUGUGUAAAUAAUAUGAUCUAUUAGAAUAUAGUGUCAAUGUCAAAAAUUAAAUUAAUAAGUACACAUGGUGCAUAUUGUGUUGUGACCAAACCAUUGGAAAGCAAAUAUAGCAUUAACUAAAUUUUAUAUAUUUCCUUAAUUGGCCUUCAUUUUUAGUGACACUAUAAAUUAUUUCCUUAUUUGUGGAUGUGCAAUGUCCAUCCCAAAUGAUAACACCCAUAUGACAUAUCUGUACUUCGUCCAUACGCAUUAGUCUCCAUCUGUUAUAUUUUGCACGAAUUUUGAAAGAAUAUGUUAGAAUUUCAAUGCCACGUAGGCACAUCGUGUUGUGUGAGCGUUAGAGCGCUCGCCUACACGACCCACAACGUGGUGUUGCCAGCUGCGCCAUGUGGGCGAAUCAGUUCCCGCCCAAACAGUCCUCACCCAGUCUGUGCGUAUGUGGGUGAAUUGUUCUUCACUCACACGACGCUCGUACGGUGCUAGAUGGCAACUACGGUUGUGCGCAUGUGACAACUAGGUAAUCACACAUUGCAACUAUGGUUAACCGUACAUGGCAAUUAUGAUUGGACCACACGUGACAACUAGUUAAUCGCACAUGACAACUAUUGUUUGACCACAUGUGACAAGUAAUUAACCACACAUGACAACUAUAGUUUGAUUACACACGACAACUACCUGUAAUUAGACAUGGAAACUAUAGUUAACCAAAAUAAAGAAGUUGUCAUGCUUUACAACUACAAUUGCCACCCCGAAUGACAAAGUUGGCAUCCUCCGAGUAUCUAAGGUUGCCAUCCUUCUGAUAAAUAAAGUUACUGCACCAGGACAUGUGGGCAUAUUUUGCUUCGUGCCAUAUGCGUGGGAUGGGUAUGAGUAGUAGUUGUUAGACGUGUGGCACGAAAUAACUGCGCCCAUACGUGUGAUGAAUAUCGGAACCCAUGUCCAUAAUAGCCCCAUAGUCAUUGACAAUAUCUUACUUUCAUUUGUGUAUACAAGGCCACUUCAAACUGUUACGUCUAACUUUGAUCAUUAAUUUUAUCAAUAAAAGUGGUUAGUGCCACAAAAAGGUACGUGAAUGGAUGCACAUUUUAAAAAAAACUUUUCGAUGAUAUAUUUUUUACGACAUAUAAUUCAUGUUUUGUUAACAAAAUUUGACACGAAAAAAAAAACCUUGUACACAGAAAUGAAAAGUGUACUUCACAAGAGGUAGCAGCAAUAUUAGCCGUCGGAUCCCAUGGAACUAAACAAGGUAAAGGACACGCGGGUGAAGAGCACAUUGAAAGAACACUAUGAACAAAACCCAGAACUUCUGAAAUUUCGCGACACCAAACACGAUCAAAUGUUGUAGGCGCUUGUAAGAUUUCAUGAACAAAUAACAUUCGAGGAGCUCUCGACAGUAUAAAAAUAAGAAAAACAGUUGCACGAAGAGAGGCAUGAACGUUGGACUGGCUGGAAUAUCAACUGCACACAGCGAUGGCUUCUGAGGAGGAGUGUCCACUUCCAGCCAGUGCACGCGCAUUGAAUCACCGGUCAAUGAUCAACCUUUCCCUUUCUCCUUGAAAGUUACCGGAAGAAUCCGCGGGUCGGUGAUCCAAUCCAACGCGGGCCUUUGCUGGCCGCUAGUGGCAUGCACCACCGUCCAAAGACGACGUAUGCCCGGCCCCGGCGUCGGCAUGGCCGGCGCAGAGAGGGGAGGGGAACAGGACACGAUCGGCCGGACAGAGACGAGAAAGGGUCCAAGGGAGGGCCGGGCUGUGCUGUCGAUGGGGCAAAUGCCGGCCGUGCUGUGGUGUGCCCCGGCCCCCUAUCCAGUGAAAGUGAUUACUACUACAUUCGUGGUGGGUCUGCGCGCAGGCAGGUUCAGCGGCAGCACGGCACAGCGGCAGGGUGGCUGGAGGAAGCAGCACUUGCGUAUGCAUGCAGCACCACCAGCGGCUGGCUCGUUGGUAGCUAGCUAUCGGCCACUACGAGCGUACGUACGUACUCCCACCGUGUCGUUAACCGGCAAAAUGGACACGAUUAACCUAUGGACGAAAGUAUUUUAUUAAUUGAACCGUGUUUAAUUUUUUUUUCACUAAGCUGAUCAUUUUAUGUGAUGUCUAAUAUAUAGACGCCAUACUAGCCUGCCACCGAGCAUCAGUGUGUCCGGGGAUGUGGCGUCUUUAUCUUAGAUGCCACAUAAUGUAGUGUGGCGUCUGGCCGUCGGAUGCCACACAAAUCGAUCAGUUAAGUAAUUUUUAUUUAAAAUAUGGUUUAAUUUAUGAAAUACUUUCUUUCACUGAUUCACAUAUCAAUUUUAUCAAAUUUGCCUCGUUAACCAGGCUACUAAUAACCUGCCGGAUGUACUGUGUCGACACAGUAGUCUCGUACGCCAAGUUAAAAUUUUCUGCCUGUUUCACGUGGAAAACUAUGCCGCAUUCACGUACGCGUAGCGUACGUGCACACUACUCUAGUUACAGCUCGCGGGCGCGCAUGCAGUGAGCGGUGAUGCAUGGGAUCGGUAGAGUGUAGACAAUACCGAUGCAUGCAUGCAUCCAUGAAGGCCAGUAUUGGAGCGUAUGGUGACCAGGUCGUCCAUGCAUGUAGGGAAGUCAUGCUUGAUAAUGUUGACCCAGUCGUCCAUGCCAAUUGAGAAGUCAUGCUUCAUUAGAUGAUGUGGAAAGAGUGGUGUUAUUGACAGUACUGCACCGUUAUAAUAAAUGCACUAACUUUUUCUGCGAGACAGUAUAAGUGAAUUGAAAUCAAUCUUUAUUGCGUAACAGCACACUCUCAGAUCGCCAAUCAUUUCAAGAUUUGACCCUGUCAAAUUUCAAACCUAAAGUUGCAUUUCUAAAAGAUAGGGAUCUACUUUUUAUCCAUAAAGUUUCCAUUUGUCACACUUCUUUUUUACCUUACUUACCGGAAAUUUAUGAAAAAUAGGACGUUUAAGCAAGUUUGUUGCAUUCUUUCACCCUUUAACGAGCUUUGCGUUCUUCUAUCGUAUGGGUCUCAUUGUCAUUCUGACAUGCCGUUGACUCGUGCCGAGAUCGAAAGCAGAUCUUGCGAGGAGCUUCUGUUGACGCAGUGUAGGGCGUAUGCGGUCGACGUGAUCACCGUAGGAAGAUUAGGGACACCAGUAAGAUGAUUUCUUCAUUUCAUUCUUCCUAGUUGUAUCUAGUCGCCCAAAUGAAGCAUCAAAGAAAUCCCGGGAUUGACCCAUGCAUGUUGACCCCUCCUACUCUAGGAUGUCACCACCACCGCCUCUUGCACUUCCACCAGGUCAGAAGAUCACACUCCGGGAGAGAAGGGACUUCCUUGUGUGUGGCUUGGCCCGACUAAUUGGGUUCAUAUCCUAUCCUGGCUGAAUUAGCUUGCUCGAUGCCGCAUCGACCACAUGAGAGCCCGCCCCACAUGAGUGUGCAACCGAAAACCAUAUGCUAGAGCAUCUACAACCGGAUCACUUAUAUCCGUCUCAUACGUCUCUACAGGCCGUCCGGUCACGAAAAAUUGAUCCAGGCAGACUUCCUAAACGGGCCUUAGACAUCCGGACUGACCGACACCCUCAUAUCCAUGCUAAAUAUAAGACGGAUAUGGGGGAGUCCGGACGCACCCAGCAUGCCCGCUUGAUUGGUCUGGCCCAUCAUCGACCCCAUCGCCAUGUCAGUCCGGCCCUCCACGGACCCACUAAAUACUCCCAAUGCGGAAACCCUAGACAUCUCGCAGGUCACUCUCCGUCCACUCCACUUCCAAUCUUCCACCCUCCGACCAGAUGGCCGGCGACGGAAGCAGCUCCGGCGGAUCGAAUGUCGAUGUGGAGGAGGUGGCCCUCUGCAUCACAUUGCACAUGUCGCUGCAGGACCAAGGAGGACCUAGCGGCAGUGGGUCUGCAUCCUUCGGACCCAUCGCACACCGACAGAGCGCCGACGGUGGUGGAUCUGCAUUCUCCGGGCCUGUCGCAUGCCGACGGAGCGUCGGUGAUGUUGCAGGCCCUUCCCAUGAGCCGCGCAUCUCCGGUCACUCAUGCUCCGGCCGGUCCGUUCCAGGUCAGGUACGUCGCCCACCUCCACCACCUUAUUCUUCAGAAGCGGUGCCAGGCCACCGCUGGGUCCUCGCACCCGCGUUGGGGACGGGGCGUACGAGGACGCCGUAGUCCGAGGCGUGUGCAACCCAUCGCAAGCGGCAACGAGCGAGGGAGAGGGGGGAGGAAGGGGCAGAGCUAGGCUAGCACCGGGCCCUGGGCCUCCUUCAUUGCGACAGUGAUUAACACUGACCAACAAUGUAAAAAACCCUACAGUUAGCAAAGGAAUUAAUCCUCACGCCCCGGGCCCUGGCCCCCCGCCACUGGGGGGAGGCGUUGGCCGCACAACGUUCAACCUUGAGCGGGCCGGUCGACCCCGAGGACGCGCUUCUCACGGGUGUCCUGCGUCGCUCGCUGACGACGACGGAGUCGGAUGCACGCCGCCUCCGUGGCAAGAAUAUUGAUGCGCUCCGACUGGCCAUCCACUUAUCGGAGCGCGAGGCAGCGAAAGAGGCGAAGGCGAAGGCGAAAGCGGCCCGCCACGCCAAGGAGCAUGCCCACCUAGUACGCAUGCUUUGCGGCAUAUGAUGUAACUCCGAGAACGAAGAUGACGACAACGACGUCUCGACCUCCGGUUCCGAUGACGACGACGCUCCACCGCACGCCGACGUCUACACGGAGGAUGGGCAUAGCUGCGUGGAUGACAGGAAUGGGAAGGGGGCGGCAAGGAAAUGGUGAUUUCCUCCGCCCUUCCCCGUGUUGUUCAUAUUUUAAUUAUGCUCAAGUAGUUUCUACUAUGAAUUUACCGAUAAACUUGAAUGAAGUAUGAUCUUUUUAUUCAGUGAAGCAAUCCGAUUCGAUGAAAGAUGUUGAUCUCUUGUUUACGUGACAUUACAUGGGUUUGUAUGAAUAUGAGGGAUGCGGAUGUGAAAGACAAAAAAUAAAACGCACUCGAUCAAUGCACUCGAUCAAUGUCCGUGGACGCAGCUGGCGUUUGAAGGGCCGUAUUUGCCAUACGUGGUUGUACAUGCUCUUAUACUACCAGUGGACCUAACCUAGCAUGAAGGGGCAAACCCGAGACGAUAUAAAAUAAAAGAGCAAACUUGCUUAAAUUAAUGGGCUAAUUUGGAGAAUCUUCUGCUAAAUGCGUAAGAAAUGUCACAAAUUGUAACUUGAAACUUAGUGAUGUAAAAAUUAGGACUCAUGGGUUGCUUCGAAAUUGAUAAAUUAGUAAAUCAACAGUACAUACCGUAAUGCUCAUGCCAAGGACUCUGAUUUAAGAUUGACCCAGUUUGUUCUCUCAAAACAGACUCCCGCUUAACUAUGGAGGGGAGACGGACCGGGGCGUCACCCCUGCCGAGUCCAAGACGAAGAAGAU